Molecule: long non-coding RNA, 3385 nt
Filed under: Buteo japonicus
Lineage: Eukaryota; Metazoa; Chordata; Aves; Accipitriformes; Accipitridae
Description: lncRNA (ENSBJAG00000001914.1)
Source: RNAcentral
UUACAAAGAUUACAGUUAUUCUCAGUGGUGGCAGAUGGUGUAACAAGGGGGUAGAGGGACAAAUUUCAGCUUCAGGGUGUUCAGGCUGGCCAUUAGGAAAAACUUCUUCGUGGGAGGGUGGUGUGGCAUGGGAACAGAUUGCCCAGGGAGGUGGUGGGUACUCCAUCACUGUAGGUUUUGGGGACUUGGCAAGAUGAAGUAAUGGUUGACCUGUUAUUGCAUUGGUGAUACUCCAGCUUCAGGCAGUAGGUUGGACUAGCUGACCUUCAGAUGCUCUUUCUAACCAACGUUUCUGUCAUUCUAAUAAUUUCAGUAUUACCGCGUAACAAAGCCAACACAUAAAAUACCUACUGCAGUAUGUUUGUAACUCUGUCCCAGGCGACACCGGGUAGAGGUACAGAGGGAGCAGGAGUCACAUGGAACAGGAUUAUGUACAUGGAGAUCUUGUACAUGGUGGAGGCAGUGUAAAUGUGUGACAGAGCAAAGUAAUCUUUUUUUUUCUUUUCUUUUCUUUUUUUCUUUUUUUCUUGUUACAGAGUUUAAGACAGCAGACCAAGCCUGUACUGGAAGAUUCGGGAGACAGCUGUUCUAAAGGAGCAGAGCCAGAUGGUCACCCGACCGCUACCUCUCAGAGCCUAGAAGAAAUGGCAAGAGAAGGAAGGCAGGAAUGUCCAUCUGAUCUUGUUCACCUGGACAUCAGGCAGUUCUCAGACCAAACCCACCAGGAGGAUAAAUGCAACAGCAGGAGUUUGGGAGCUUUUAAUGAUGCGCCAAAUGACUUGCUGAGCCUGGGGGAUGCAAAGAGCUCAGAGUGCUUCUGUGAAAGUAAAAAUAAAGUGACGUUGAGUAAAAAGGAAGAGGAGGGGCCAACCUCUGCUGAAGGCUCUGGGACUAUAUCAGAUGAGAACGACUGCACGGUGAGCCUGUGUGCAAGUGUAAACAAUGCCGUAAAUCUUCCAUCCUGUGGAAAUACAAAUGAGGAAGCUGGAAUGACAUCUGCUGGAGUUGUUCUGGAUCAAGCUGGCUUGUGCAGUAAAGAUAGUCCCCAUCAGGAAGUGCAAGCUGCUGAGGAGCGUGCAGCUGAGAGUACUGUUACUGUGGUUGAAACUACAGGCAAAGCCCCAGCUUCCUUGGAGGGCGUGGAUGUGGCUAUGGGCCAAACUGAAUGCAGGAACUGUACAGGGGCAGCUGAGAGGGCUGCGGGCCAGCAGCAGGGAGAGGAUGGGAUGGCUGAGGCUGGUGAAAGGAGGACUGCAAACAUAGAAGAGCAAUUGCCAGCUAAGGAAGAGUCAGCCAGUGCCUCUCAGCCCUUACUCGGUGGUUUUAAUGGCACUGAGAGUGCAGAUGGGGAGGAUGCAAAUGUGGGAGUGGUGUCGGCGUGUGACAGUACAAAUGCAGAUGAUGGCACUGGCAUUGUCUCCAUUGACCUUUGCAAGACCAGCAAUAACAAAGAGACUGGAGCAGACACUGAUCAGGUAAAAAGUGGCUUCUUAGAAAGCCAAGGAGACGCCCAUGCUGCAGCGAGGCAGGAUGUCACUGCAAGUGCUGGGGCAGCGUUGCCAGCGGUGAAUGGGGUGAAGUUUCCCACAUGUGCAUCAAAAGCUGAUCCUGGUUUGGAAAUCCUUGGCAGCGGGGAGCAAGAAGGGCAGAUGGAAGCAGGUUGCACAGUUGGGAAAUCCAGCUUGCCCUCCCUGAAAGACAGUAUGGAAACUGAUGGCCCUGAUGCUGAACCUGAAAACAGUGAUGCUGGUGGAUCUAAUCAAAGCGGUGCAGAACCUGCACGUUGCCAGGAGAGCGGUAAGAUCACUGAACGUGCAGCUGAAGCAAUGGAGGGCAGCGAAGCCCGUGAAGAGGAGCCAGCAGGAGCCGAUACCAGCAGCAGUGGAGAUGGAGGAAGUGCAUAUGCUGCAGAUGGAGUUCAGGAAGUUGCUAGCUGUCACCCUUCUGCUGAUCAAACUGUUGUUGAAGAUGAAAUGGGUGACAGCUUCAAACCGGACACUGCUCAAGAGAGCAAAUAUGAGCCUGCGUCGCUCCCUCUGGAGGAUGCCAGCGCAUGCCUGGCAGAAAAAGAACCUGCACAAACUGAAGCAGAGAUAGCAGAAAGUGCUUCGGAGCAGGAGGGGCUGAGCAGCAAGAUGCAAUCACUCAUUCCCCUACCCAGAGGAGAAGGACCGGCUGUGAGUCAGGAGGGAGAUGCUGCAGUGGCACCUCCCGGGCAGGAGGCAGCUCUGCAAGUUAACGACCCUGGGUUAGCUCUGUGUGCCAAGGGCACAGACUGUGUGGAGGAUAAUUUAAUAGGCACACCCUCUGUAACUCAUAAUGAAGAAUCUAAACAAAACCAGGAAGCAGUGACGGUGGCGGCAGGCUCAGCAGAGCUUGCCCAGCAGCGUGGCGGGGAGCAUGGCAAGGUAGCUGCCGGAGCCGGCUGGCCUGAGGACCAUGCAGGGGAUGAGGGCUCUCCGGAGCAGAGCCUCUUGCAGGAGGCUGAAGGAGGCAAAGCUGAGCCUGAGCAGGGGGCUCCUGCAAGUGGCAGGGAGCAGGUCUUGUCGGAGGAACUUCGUGCUGCUGUUGUGAAACCCUCUGCCUGCUGUCAGGAGGGGCCUGUGGCAGGUGGCAGCGAUGUGGAUGCUGAGAUGAAAGGGACAGCCCGUGCCAAAGAAGCGUGCAAGACCAGGGCAGUGGGUGCAGGAGAAAGCACCAUCCGUGAACCUGCAUCAGCAGGCAGGUCACCAGGUGUGGAGAGUGACCCUUGUCCGGAUGCGGCCCUGAACCAAGAACAUUAUCCCAGUCAAGCCCUACAACAAAUCUCCCCACGCAGCAGUACCCCCGAAUUAAAGGAUGCUUCAGAAAUGAGAGCCCCGAGCGAUGCCUGCGAGGCGGAGACACCUUGUUCUCCUGAAUUACCAGCCACAGAAAAAGUGGGGCUUGAGACCCAGGCUGCGGUGGAUGUGGGAGCCAGCCUUAAUGGAGAAAUGGAUUUAAGUUCCUCAGCGAAGAAGAGGAACGUCAGCCCAGCAGUGCAACGAGCUGAGCCUGUUACAGGUAGGAAGAAUCAGUUGGUUUCCUACUUUUUAGGUUUUUCUUUGUAGGUGUGCCUCUAGAAUCUCAUCAGGAAAGGAAGGGAAAUAAGAGCAGGAGGCCUGCCUUGUGGAGGAAGUAUAGGUGUUUGGGGUUUUUCUUCGGAGAAAGAAAUCUGAAGUUACAUAUUAAAACUUCCAGUUCAAAUGCAUGUUUCUUGGCUGGCACUGGAGAUAAGGGCAGGACAUCAUCUCCUGUGAAUUUGUGCAGAAGAAUUUGUAACACCUGAAUCCUCCCUGGAGAGGAAUGAAUGGGAGGGAGCUAUUUGGAUUACUUGUAUCUUCAAGUUAUACACUUUCACGUGGGC